GAACGUUCCAGUGCUGAAACAAAACUACAAUAAACAAACAACAUCCACAGUCUUUAAAACGGAAAAAUAAGCAUGCAAAAUUCAACUGUAACAGUGAGUGGCUUCGGGAGCCGGGAGAAAUGCAUCCAAAAAGCAGAAAGCUGAGAGAGAGAAACUGGUGUGAGGACUCGUGCGCGUAUGCUGAACAUUGUGAGAGAGCUGCGACCAACUGUCUUUAUUUGUAUGAAUGUUUGUGGAAGCGCAGGUUUUGUUUUGAACUUUGUCAGAGAGUAAAUAAAUGCGUAAGCAAGUAAAGCCGA
Triplophysa dalaica is the source of this 299-nucleotide long non-coding RNA. RefSeq lists it as uncharacterized. NCBI's taxonomy places the organism in Eukaryota, Metazoa, Chordata, Actinopteri, Cypriniformes, Nemacheilidae. The record is from RefSeq and is a predicted model, not a curated record. The transcript has 2 exons.